AAAAAAAAAAAAAAGCUGGAUACCAUGUAGAAGAAAAAUAAUAUGGGAGAAAAUAGAUUUGGGACUCAAACCCUCGACUAAAAUGGAGGAGGAGAAUAUAUGAGAAAAAUAGCUUUGGGCUCAAACUCUAGGCUAAAAUGAAGAAGGUGAAUAUGGGAGAAAAAUAGUUUUAGGACCCAAAUCCCACGCUUUAAUACCAUGUUGAAAUUUAGAAUGA
Molecule: unclassified non-coding RNA, 217 nt
Filed under: Hevea brasiliensis (rubber tree)
Lineage: Eukaryota; Viridiplantae; Streptophyta; Magnoliopsida; Malpighiales; Euphorbiaceae
Source: RNAcentral